UGGGGAAUCUUGGACAAUGGGCGCAAGCCUGAUGCAGCAAUGCCGCGUGAGUGAAGACGGCCUUAGGGUUGUAAAACUCUUUCGCUAGGGAAGAUAAUGACGGUACCUAGUAAAGAAGUCCCGGCUAACUCCGUGCCAGCAGCCGCGGUAAUACGGAGGGGAACAAGCGUUAUUCGGAUUUAUUGGGCGUAAAGGGCGCGUAGGCGGCUUGAUAAGUCAAAGGUGAAAUCCCUCGGCUCAACCGGGGAACUGCCUUUGAAACUGUCUGGCUAGAGUUCGGGAGAGGGUAGGGGAAUUCCUAGUGUAGCGGUGAAAUGCGUAGAUAUUAGGAGGAACACCAGUGGCGAAGGCGCCUACCUGGACCGAUACUGACGCUGAGGUGCGAAAGUGUGGGGAGCAAACAGGAUUAGAUACCCUGGUAGUCCACACCGUAAACGAUGAAUGCCAGUCGUCGGGUAGCAUGCUAUUCGGUGACACACCUAACGGAUUAAGCAUUCCGCCUGGGGAGUACGGUCGCAGAUU
RNAcentral lists this ribosomal RNA (522 nucleotides) under uncultured bacterium. RNAcentral describes it as "bacterial SSU rRNA". It matches the Rfam family "Bacterial small subunit ribosomal RNA", at positions 355 to 895 of the family's 1533-position model. The record is from RNAcentral.